AUUUAUUUUAUUUUAUUAUUAUAAUUAUUUUUGGGUAAUCGGUUGAGUGUAGGAGGUUUUCUUGGAUACGCCUGUUUCCUUUUUUAUUCCAUAGCGAUUUUUAGUUCUUUUUUGCUGAUGUAUCAGAAACAAAAGUUACUCAUUCUUCUGGAACAGCUAGAGGAAGGCUCCUAAUUUCUCAGGUAAAUAGGUUGCAUAAAAGGCUUUUCUGUUUUGAACUCUAAUUUAGCUUCGCUAUUGAAUAAGUCAACUUUACCGUUUAUUCUAUUUUUAUGUAUUGUUGUACGUUUAUUGUAAUUGUAGCCGAUAUAUUUCAUUUUAAUUUGGAAGAAUUGUAAUUAAAUGUUGAAGUUACGAAUUAAGAUUUUAAUGCUUAUAUACCAUGAAUGGUUGUUUGAAAUAUGAAUUUAUUAGUUGCUAAAUUUUGGCUUAUUAUAUUUUUAAUUUGGGGGUGUCAUUUUUAGUUAAAUUUUGAAUUUAUGAAUUGAGUAUUUGUUGUCGUAUGUUUAUUGAUCGAUUAGGCAACAUUAGGAAUUGGUAAUGUGACAGAAAAAAGUUUAGUUCAAUGUAACAUUGGCAAUAAGAGUCCAGUUUUACUCUGCAUAUUACUGCCCAAUAAAAUAGAGUCUUGCUAUUUGGAUUUGGAGUUCGAGGAGACUGAUGAUGUGGUUUUUUGGUGAUUCGUCCAUGAAGUGUUUACCUCCCUAGUUUUUAUGUCAAUCACAGUAAGCAUUUCGAUCCACAUCGCAAUACUUAUCCUUUUUUCCUUAAUCUGUUCAUUUUCAGUGUAGUUUCGUUUUGUUGAGGUGUAAUGUUCUGUCAAUUAGCAUUUCGGUGAUUGAAUCAUUAUGCUUUUCUAUUUUUCGGUAGGCCAAGGAGGGAAGCAAUGAGAGAUUAGAGAAAAGUUAUAUUUGCUCUCCAAACUCUAUAAAUCAUGCCCUUCACAUUAAUUUUGCUUGUAGCAUGAUGUUUCCUUAACACUCCUUUUAUGUCUUGUAAGUUCUUUUAUUUUUUUAACAUCUUAAACCUUCCUCCUCCCAAAGAUUGAAAACAGGGCAAGUUUUUCUAUUUUUCAUGUGUCCAAUGAAUUAGAACACCGAUUGUACAACAAUCUCUGUGAGAUCAUCUUUGGUUUUUAUCUUGAUUCUUUAUUACCUUCACAUCAUGUAUAAUAGAUAUUCGUUUUUAUGGCAUUGUAGUUUAAACCAGAAAAAAUAGAAGCCAUUAUAGAAGAUUUUAAUGAAACAGGAAAACUUACUCCUACAGAGCUAUAUCUUAGUGGAACAAAAUAUAUAGUGAUUCGAGGGGAGCCAGUAGCUGUUAUAAGAGGAAAAAAGGGUAACGAUCUAAUGUAAAAUGUGGUUUUUAUUAUCUAUUGAUAAAUGAUUGGGAAACUUGAUUGGUUUUCAAUUUUUCUUAAAUUUGUUGCUUGCAACAGUUUUUGCAGUCAUUUUGUUUCCAUUCAAGUUCAAUUCCUGCAACUUUUGUUUUCGAUGAUGUUUUUCAUGGCUGUAACAUACAACAAUUUUACUUAAUAAUCUACCAUAAAAAAAUUACAAAAAGGGGAUUCCAAUGGACUCUAUUUUUUAGAAGUCCUGAGAGACAUUAUCAGGUAUUUCAUUUUUCCGCCUUUUGACUUCAAUGCUGAAUAGCCUUUGAAUAUAAUAUGCCUUUUGUACGUUUUCUCUGUGCUUUAACCCUAAUCUCACUCUUUCUCUCUGGAUCGUAACAUAAAAUCCCAAAUAAUCUGACCCCCAUUCACUAGAAAUCAAUUCCUAAUUUGUGUCUUUUUGCAAAACUCUUCACUUCUGAUUCCACAAAUGGAUUAAAAUUUUAUGAUUUUUUUAUUGUUAUUUUUUAUCGAAAUUUUUACUUCUUUCUUGAUAAUUUGAUUUUAUUUUUGUUGCUUCUCUUUUAUGUGAAUAUUCGUGAGGCUUAUAUGAUAGUAAAUUUUCUAAUGAUGAAAUUUUGAUUUGUUUGUGAUUUACAUUGAAUCUCUCUUACUCUUACAAUUUAGUGAUGGCCGAGUAAAUACUUUCCCAUUUGUUCAUCAUUGUUUUCAUGGUACCUUUUCAUCAUGCAUUGUUAAGUGAACAAUAACCAUUUGCCUGCACACAGUAUUCAUAUAUUUUUCAAUUGAUACACCUCUUGAAUGGUGAUAUAGGGAUCUCCUAUGCUAACCACCGCGCUAAAGUAUUUGACACUAAGAUCACUUGGGGCUUGAGCUGUUCUUCUUUAUUUGGCCAUGCAAAGAGUCUGCAACGACCCUAAAACUCCACUCUUUGCCACUGGUAAAUGACUACUCUACACUUUUUUUUUUCCUUCUUUUUCAUUUGUUUAUACAUUCAUGCUUUAUUCUUUCCAUUCAGAAUAAGAAUUUUUUUCCAUAUUAAGCAAUAAUUACAACCCUUUGAAUCUUUUUUUAGCAAACAAUUUGAAUCCCUUGAUUGUAUUCUUGUCAUUUUUAUAAGGAAUUUCUGAAGAAACCUUAAUACUAUAAUCUUCCAAUUAAUAAGGCUAAAAUCUCGCCCAGACAAUUGAAAAAUGGAGGACCCCUAUUGCUAAUUUCCCUCUUACAGAUACAUAGUAAAGCAACUUUUAAGUUCUUGUUUACACAUAUAUAUAGAACAAAAUUUAAAUUUCACAUUUCCUUUAUCAUUACGUUUUGUAUCCAUACUCUAUCCAUUAGACUCUUGAAAGGUUUAGUACGAUAGGACUAAAGAAUAAAAACUGGUUUUGUAGGUAUUUGACCUCUAUGAUUCUCUUAUGCCAUUGCCAACGUGUAGUACUAUUUAUCAUUUCACAGAUUCCUCUGAUACUAUAUUGUUGUUUGUUUACGAAACCGUUAAUGUAAAAUUUUCCUUAAGUGGAAACUGGUUUUGUAGGUUCUUGAUCUCAGCGAUUCUCUCAUGCAAAUUGAUGGAACAAGUUAAUAUAUUUCCUCAAAGUCUUUGGGAUUUGCAGCCCAGUAGACUCCUCAAGAAUGGUUAGUCCGUUAAUAAUGUUUUUCAUUGCUUCAAUCGAAUAUAUUCAUUGACCUUUUGUUACGUGAGUGGACACACAAGUUUUCUGUUACGAGAAAGAGUUAUAGCUGUGACCCUCUGUGUGCCUUUGGCUGAAAUGCUAGGUCCAACACCUAUGGCUGCCUUUCAGAUAUGCUUACAGGUCUGGACGACAUUGUCACUUAUUGUUGAUGGUUUGGCUAUUGCAGUUCAAGUAUCAAAUAUUGAAUAGAUUGUUGAAUCUUUUUUCUCCAAAUUGAAUCAUUUGUAG
This 3273-nucleotide long non-coding RNA is filed under the name Olea europaea subsp. europaea. The record is from RNAcentral. Lineage: Eukaryota; Viridiplantae; Streptophyta; Magnoliopsida; Lamiales; Oleaceae.